GUUUCGGUCCCUUCGAAUCUUCAAUUGAAACCACCGACUCUGGCUCGGAAUUAGAUCCAAGCCCGCCCUGUCCUACGGCGGGUCCAAGCAGUAAAGAAGAAAAAUAAAGAAUAAAUAAAAAGGAUACAAUGCAAGUGAUAUCAUUUUAUCUGCUUGUUUUGAAUGUAUAAUUUUGUAAGAAUUCUAACUCAAUUGAUUUCUUUU
RNAcentral lists this unclassified non-coding RNA (204 nucleotides) under Hevea brasiliensis (rubber tree). The record is from RNAcentral. Lineage: Eukaryota; Viridiplantae; Streptophyta; Magnoliopsida; Malpighiales; Euphorbiaceae.